UAGUACGGCGAGUGAAGCGGGAAGAGCUCAAAUUUGAAAUCUGGUAGCCUUCGGUUGCCCGAGUUGUAAUCUAGAGAAGUGUUUUCCGCGUUGGCCCAUGUACAAGUCCCUUGGAACAGGGCGUCAUAGAGGGUGAGAAUCCCGUCCUUGACAUGGACCCCCAAUGCUUUGUGAUACACUUUCAACGAGUCGAGUUGUUUGGGAAUGCAGCUCAAAAUGGGUGGUGAAUUCCAUCUAAAGCUAAAUAUUGGCGAGAGACCGAUAGCGAACAAGUACCGUGAGGGAAAGAUGAAAAGCACUUUGGAAAGAGAGUUAAACAGUACGUGAAAUUGUUGAAAGGGAAACGAUUGAAGUCAGUCAUGCUCUUUGGAUUAAGCCGUUCUGCGGUGUAUUUCAUUGAGCGGGGUCAACAUCAGUUUUGAUCGCUGGAAAAGGGCAGGAGGAAGGUAGCACUCUCGGGUGAACUUAUAGCCUCUUGUCGUAUACAGUGAUUGGGACUGAGGAACGCAGCAUGCCUUUUGGCCGGGAUUCGUCCACGUACAUGCUUAGGAUGUUGACAUAAUGGCUUUAAACGACCCGUCUGA
RNAcentral lists this ribosomal RNA (584 nucleotides) under Naganishia friedmannii. RNAcentral's name for it is "eukaryotic LSU rRNA". It matches the Rfam family "Eukaryotic large subunit ribosomal RNA", at positions 81 to 656 of the family's 3401-position model. Lineage: Eukaryota; Fungi; Basidiomycota; Tremellomycetes; Filobasidiales; Filobasidiaceae. The record is from RNAcentral.